Molecule: ribosomal RNA, 402 nt
Filed under: Verrucomicrobiota bacterium
Lineage: Bacteria; Pseudomonadati; Verrucomicrobiota
Description: Verrucomicrobia bacterium partial 16S ribosomal RNA
Rfam family: Bacterial small subunit ribosomal RNA
Source: RNAcentral
UGGGGAAUAUUGCACAAUGGGCGCAAGCCUGAUGCAGCAACGCCGCGUGAACGAUGAAGGUCUUCGGAUCGUAAAGUUCUGUUGCAGGGGAAGAUAAUGACGGUACCCUGUGAGGAAGCCCGGCCAACUACGUGCCAGCAGCCGCGGUAAUACGGAGGGGGCUAGCGUUAUCCGGAUUUACUGGGCGUAAAGGGGGCGUAGGUGGUCUUUCAAGUCGGUGGUUAAAGGCUACGGCUCAACCGUAGUUAGCCUCCGAAACUGGAAGACUUGAGUGCAGGAGAGGAAAGUGGAAUUCCCAGUGUAGCGGUGAAAUGCGUAGAUAUUGGGAGGAACACCAGUAGCGAAGGCGGCUUUCUGGACUGCAACUGACACUGAGGCACGAAAGCGUGGGUAGCAAACAGG